AUAUGUCACUUAUUAUCCAUGUGA
RNAcentral lists this non-coding RNA (24 nucleotides) under Arabidopsis thaliana (thale cress). Lineage: Eukaryota; Viridiplantae; Streptophyta; Magnoliopsida; Brassicales; Brassicaceae. The record is from RNAcentral.